Molecule: ribosomal RNA, 460 nt
Filed under: uncultured bacterium
Lineage: Bacteria
Description: partial 16S ribosomal RNA
Rfam family: Bacterial small subunit ribosomal RNA
Source: RNAcentral
CCUACGGGGUGCAGCAGUGAGGUAUAUUGGUCAAUGGACGAGAGUCUGAACCAGCCAAGUAGCGUGAAGGAUGACUGCCCUAUGGGUUGUAAACUUCUUUUAUAUGGGAAUAAAACGUUCCACGUGUGGGAUUUUGUAUGUACCAUAUGAAUAAGGAUCGGCUAACUCCGUGCCAGCAGCCGCGGUAAUACGGAGGAUCCGAGCGUUAUCCGGAUUUAUUGGGUUUAAAGGGAGCGUAGGUGGAUUGUUAAGUCAGUUGUGAAAGUUUGCGGCUCAACCGUAAAAUUGCAGUUGAAACUGGCAGUCUUGAGUACAGUAGAGGUGGGCGGAAUUCGUGGUGUAGCGGUGAAAUGCUUUGAUAUCACGAAGAACUCCGAUUGCGAAGGCAGUUCACUGGACUGCAACUGACACUGAGGCUCGAAAGUGUGGGUAUCAAACAGGAUUAGAUACCCCGGUAGUC